GGGGUGUCGUAUCGGAUUAUUGGGCGUAAGAGCUCGUAGGCGGCUUGUCACGUCGGGUGUGAAAGCCCGGGGCUUAACCCCGGGUCUGCAUUCGAUACGGGCUGGCUAGAGUGUGGUAGGGGAGAUCGGAAUUCCUGGUGUAGCGGUGAAAUGCGCAGAUAUCAGGAGGAACACCGGUGGCGAAGGCGGAUCUCUGGGCCAUUACUGACGCUGAGGAGCGAAAGCGUGGGGAGCGAACAGGAUUAGUACCCUGGUAA
RNAcentral lists this ribosomal RNA (257 nucleotides) under Streptomyces bobili. Its description in RNAcentral is "partial 16S ribosomal RNA". It matches the Rfam family "Bacterial small subunit ribosomal RNA", at positions 548 to 793 of the family's 1533-position model. The record is from RNAcentral. Lineage: Bacteria; Bacillati; Actinomycetota; Actinomycetes; Kitasatosporales; Streptomycetaceae.